This 528-nucleotide ribosomal RNA is filed under the name uncultured bacterium. RNAcentral describes it as "partial 16S ribosomal RNA". It matches the Rfam family "Bacterial small subunit ribosomal RNA", at positions 355 to 875 of the family's 1533-position model. The record is from RNAcentral.
UAGGGAAUCUUCGGCAAUGGACGAAAGUCUGACCGAGCAACGCCGCGUGAGUGAAGAAGGUUUUCGGAUCGUAAAACUCUGUUGGUAGAGAAGAACGUUGGUGAGAGUGGAAAGCUCAUCAAGUGACGGUAACUACCCAGAAAGGGACGGCUAACUACGUGCCAGCAGCCGCGGUAAUACGUAGGUCCCGAGCGUUGUCCGGAUUUAUUGGGCGUAAAGCGAGCGCAGGUGGUUUAUUAAGUCUGGUGUAAAAGGCAGUGGCUCAACCAUUGUAUGCAUUGGAAACUGGUAGACUUGAGUGCAGGAGAGGAGAGUGGAAUUCCAUGUGUAGCGGUGAAAUGCGUAGAUAUAUGGAGGAACACCGGUGGCGAAAGCGGCUCUCUGGCCUGUAACUGACACUGAGGCUCGAAAGCGUGGGGAGCAAACAGGAUUAGAUAGCCCUGGUAGUCCACGCGUAAACGAUGAGUGCUAGAUGUAGGGAGCUAUAAGUUCUCUGUAUCGCAGCUAACGCAAUAAGCACUCCGCCUG